RNAcentral lists this ribosomal RNA (429 nucleotides) under Chloroflexota bacterium. RNAcentral's name for it is "Chloroflexi bacterium partial 16S ribosomal RNA". It matches the Rfam family "Bacterial small subunit ribosomal RNA", at positions 355 to 776 of the family's 1533-position model. Lineage: Bacteria; Bacillati; Chloroflexota. The record is from RNAcentral.
UGGGGAAUCUUCGGCAAUGGACGAAAGUCUGACCGAGCAACGCCGCGUGAGUGAAGAAGGUUUUCGGAUCGUAAAACUCUGUUGUUAGAGAAGAACAAGGACGUUAGUAACUGAACGUCCCCUGACGGUAUCUAACCAGAAAGCCACGGCUAACUACGUGCCAGCAGCCGCGGUAAUACGUAGGUGGCAAGCGUUGUCCGGAUUUAUUGGGCGUAAAGCGAGCGCAGGCGGUUUCUUAAGUCUGAUGUGAAAGCCCCCGGCUCAACCGGGGAGGGUCAUUGGAAACUGGGAGACUUGAGUGCAGAAGAGGAGAGUGGAAUUCCAUGUGUAGCGGUGAAAUGCGUAGAUAUAUGGGGGAACACCAGUGGCGAGAGCGGCUCUCUGGUCUGUAACUGACGCUGAGGCUCGAAAGCGUGGGGAGCAAACAGG